AUUACAAUUAGUGUACCGGAUUAUGUUCUUGACACAUUGACUCUUACUCUUCCCAAUUAUGUUGUUGGGUUCCCGCAUAAAUCCCCUUGAUCUGUGCAUAGUGGAUUGGUUGUGCUUACUAUAGUGAUGAGAUAUUGCUUAUUGAUAAUUUUUUUUCUUCUAAUAAAACCAAUAUUUACACUAUUAAUUAUAUACGAAAGAGAGAUAGCUUGAACCCGAGAUGCAGUGAGUUGACGAGAAAAAUUUAACAAAAUUCCACUACUUAGCCAUUAAGUUUAGAUUCACUAUGUUUAUAAAUUUCAUUUAAUUUAAUUUUUUAAAAUGUAGAUGAUAUUGUCACCCAAUCUUCUUUUGUUUCUAGGGAACUAUAGGUGUGAGAAAAGAUAAAGACAUUUUUGUGACUACCUUAAGGUGAUGUAGCAUAUAAUAUGUUUGGUUGGCUCAGUCUAAAUAUCUUAAAGUGACUAUCUUUUUUUCUAAUAUGUUGGGUAUCGAGCAUGAAGUUUCUAAGCUCACUCAAGAUCAGUUUGUAUAAGAGUAAGUCAAACCUUCUUUAAGCUUGAGAAAAGUUACAGAACCAUGCUUAAACAUAAUGAUAUUUGGUUGCCUCAGCUCGUCAAUAGCUCUACUCAUCACUUCAUGAGUCAUUUUGGCAAAUUGGAAUUCACCAAAGUUAAGUUUUAAGGUUAAAUUUGGGUAUAAUCAAGUUAGCUAGAAAAGUGUGUUUCACUAUUGCACUCAAGUUCAAAUCCCUCUUGUCAUAGUUUGGAUAAAUUCAGUAUUUGCUUAUUUUAUCGUUUGUUAGAAGAAAAGAAAGGAAAAACUUAAGUUUCGGGCUACACAUGGCAAAUUGGUCUACUUGGAGGCUGCUUCUAAGAUGACAAUUUGGCCCAACCUAAAAGCAACAUCACCCUUCCCAAUUGCCUUUGCAAUUAGGGUGCGUUUGGUACAUGGGACGGGACGGGACGGAACGGGAUGAGGCGUUCCGUCCCGCGUUUGGUGCGCCAAAA
Molecule: long non-coding RNA, 1010 nt
Filed under: Malus domestica (apple)
Lineage: Eukaryota; Viridiplantae; Streptophyta; Magnoliopsida; Rosales; Rosaceae
Description: long non-coding RNA (MDOM_LNC014851)
Source: RNAcentral